GACGAACGCUGGCGGCGUGCCUAAUACAUGCAAGUAGAACGCUGAAGAGAGGAGCUUGCUCUUCUUGGAUGAGUUGCGAACGGGUGAGUAACGCGUAGGUAACCUGCCUUGUAGCGGGGGAUAACUAUUGGAAACGAUAGCUAAUACCGCAUAACAAUGGAUGACACAUGUCAUUUAUUUGAAAGGGGCAAUUGCUCCACUACAAGAUGGACCUGCGUUGUAUUAGCUAGUAGGUGAGGUAAUGGCUCACCUAGGCGACGAUACAUAGCCGACCUGAGAGGGUGAUCGGCCACACUGGGACUGAGACACGGCCCAGACUCCUACGGGAGGCAUCAGUAGGGAAUCUUCGGCAAUGGGGGCAACCCUGACCGAGCAACGCCGCGUGAGUGAAGAAGGUUUUCGGAUCGUAAAGCUCUGUUGUAAGUCAAGAACGGGUGUGAGAGUGGAAAGUUCACACUGUGACGGUAGCUUACCAGAAAGGGACGGCUAACUACGU
RNAcentral lists this ribosomal RNA (496 nucleotides) under uncultured bacterium. RNAcentral's name for it is "partial 16S ribosomal RNA". It matches the Rfam family "Bacterial small subunit ribosomal RNA", at positions 28 to 506 of the family's 1533-position model. The record is from RNAcentral.